GCUGGGAUUACAGGCAUGAGCC
This 22-nucleotide microRNA is filed under the name Homo sapiens (human). RNAcentral's name for it is "hsa-miR-619-5p". Its record names the gene hsa-miR-619-5p. The record is from miRBase by way of RNAcentral. Lineage: Eukaryota; Metazoa; Chordata; Mammalia; Primates; Hominidae.